RNAcentral lists this long non-coding RNA (446 nucleotides) under Setaria viridis. Its description in RNAcentral is "long non-coding RNA (SVIR_LNC001573)". Lineage: Eukaryota; Viridiplantae; Streptophyta; Magnoliopsida; Poales; Poaceae. The record is from RNAcentral.
CUUGUGGAGCGACAAGGACAGCGGACAGCCCCCAGCCCCAGGCAGAUCGAGCCAGGAUCAUGAAGGGUGUUCCAUCAUGAAGCACGCAUCAUCAGUGCCACAAGGAGAGAGCAUGCAUCCCAAACCGCUAUUGCCUAUUAGCCCUUUGCAGCAACAUCUUGAAACGGAAUUUGCUCUAAAGCAUUUAAUCCCUCCGACAAUUCAUAUUCUUGCUCACUCCUUCCUCGACACGAAUUAACCUCAGAUAUUCUCCCAAGACCACUUAUAUGCCCCUAAUCGAUAUUUAAUAGCAUCCCGUUAGAAAAUAUGUUUCAUUUUAGUUUUGCACAAACAAACAUAUUGGAAAUAGUAGUAAACAAAUGACUUGGUCGAUCGCUCCUUGAGGAGCCACUUGGUAGUUAACACAAAUUCAUGCUUCAAAUCAGCCUGGACCUCCUUACUUUCUC